RNAcentral lists this ribosomal RNA (970 nucleotides) under Montanitestudina hydei. RNAcentral describes it as "SSU rRNA". It matches the Rfam family "Eukaryotic small subunit ribosomal RNA", at positions 102 to 1080 of the family's 1831-position model. Lineage: Eukaryota; Fungi; Ascomycota; Dothideomycetes; Pleosporales; Testudinaceae. The record is from RNAcentral.
UAAAUCAGUUAUCGUUUAUUUGAUAGUACCUUACUACUUGGAUAACCGUGGUAAUUCUAGAGCUAAUACAUGCUAAAAACCCCAACUUCGGGAGGGGUGUAUUUAUUAGAUAAAAAACCAAUGCCCUUCGGGGCUCUUUGGUGAUUCAUGAUAACUUAACGGAUCGCAUGGCCUUGCGCCGGCGACGGUUCAUUCAAAUUUCUGCCCUAUCAACUUUCGAUGGUAAGGUAUUGGCUUACCAUGGUUUCAACGGGUAACGGGGAAUUAGGGUUCGAUUCCGGAGAGGGGGCCUGAGAGAUGGCCACCACAUCCAAGGAAGGCAGCAGGCGCGCAAAUUACCCAAUCCCGACACGGGGAGGUAGUGACAAUAAAUACUGAUACAGGGCUCUUUUGGGUCUUGUAAUCGGAAUGAGUACAAUUUAAACCCCUUAACGAGGAACAAUUGGAGGGCAAGUCUGGUGCCAGCAGCCGCGGUAAUUCCAGCUCCAAUAGCGUAUAUUAAAGUUGUUGCAGUUAAAAAGCUCGUAGUUGAACCUUGGGCCUGGCUGGCCGGUCCGCCUCACCGCGUGUACUGGUCCGGCCGGGCCUUUCCUUCUGGAGAGCCGCAUGCCCUUCACUGGGUGUGUCGGGGAACCAGGACUUUUACUUUGAAAAAAUUAGAGUGUUCAAAGCAGGCCUUUGCUCGAAUACGUUAGCAUGGAAUAAUAGAAUAGGACGUGCGGUCCUAUUUUGUUGGUUUCUAGGACCGCCGUAAUGAUUAAUAGGGAUAGUCGGGGGCAUCAGUAUUCAAUUGUCAGAGGUGAAAUUCUUGGAUUUAUUGAAGACUAACUACUGCGAAAGCAUUUGCCAAGGAUGUUUUCAUUAAUCAGUGAACGAAAGUUAGGGGAUCGAAGACGAUCAGAUACCGUCGUAGUCUUAACCGUAAACUAUGCCGACUAGGGAUCGGGCGAUGUUUCUAUCUUGACUCGCU